UGGGACUAGGUCAAUAGGUGUGAAUUGUCUUUAAAAAAAAAAUCAUUAUAUAUAAGAAUUCCUAUAAAUACACACACAGCAAUCAGCCCUCACAGAUUACAUAAAAUCAUUGAUAUUUCUUCAUCACGAAUAAAACCAAUUGCAAUUGACCAUUCCAAUCCGAAUUUAUUACAACAAAUUAUCCACGCAUAUUACAAAUCUGGAAUGCGGCCGCAUUAUGUCCAGUAUUUACUGAUCCCUUUAU
This is a long non-coding RNA of Pieris napi, 244 nucleotides long. RefSeq lists it as uncharacterized. The record is from RefSeq and is a predicted model, not a curated record. NCBI's taxonomy places the organism in Eukaryota, Metazoa, Arthropoda, Insecta, Lepidoptera, Pieridae. The transcript is spliced from 2 exons.